RNA transcript from Magnolia sinica, 2949 nucleotides. It is a transcript of the gene named crossover junction endonuclease MUS81, with no coding region annotated. The record is from RefSeq and is a predicted model, not a curated record. The transcript is spliced from 20 exons. NCBI's taxonomy places the organism in Eukaryota, Viridiplantae, Streptophyta, Magnoliopsida, Magnoliales, Magnoliaceae.
UACUGACAAAUGAACACCUGGGCGGGAAAAUCCCUAGUCCGUCUCUCCUCACUUCUCUUCUACCUUCGGUUGAAAAAAAUCGUCCGAUUUCCUUCUUUGUCCAGAAAUGGAGAAUGAAAGGCCCGUUGUCUGUCCAGGAAACGAAGAUCUGGCAUCCUACAUAUGGAAAAAGAGGCAGGAAAUGGCCGAUGCCAACGCCAUUUCGGAGAAAAUCGAUUCCACGCUCGGCAAAGCCUACCGCAAUGUCUGCGCCUCCAAAGAUCCCAUCAAAACCCCACAAGAUUUCUCCAAAAUCAAGGGUGUGGGGAAUUGGACUCUGAGGCUUAUGCAGGGUUUCUUCCACAUGCAUUCGGAGGCUUCUGGAUCCAAAGAACUGGCUCCAAAAGGGAAGAAAGCAAAGGGACCAAAACGAUAUUUGCCACAAAAAAAUUCUGUGGCAUAUGCAUUACUAAUUGCUCUUUAUAGGGGGACUGCGAAUGGAGAUGGUUUUAUGCGGAAACAGGAACUUAUUGAUGCCGCUGAAGCUAGUGGUCUUUCACGGGGGCCUAUUGUGCCGGAAAAGGGUAAAGGAAAAGCUGGGCAAUUUGGAAGUUCACCUCGGGAGUGGUACAGUGGAUGGAGUUGCAUGAAGACGCUGGUAACAAAAGGGUUAAUUGUGAAAUCAAGCUGCCCAGCAAAGUACAUGCUAACUCAAGAAGGGCAAGAAGCAGCUCGAGAAUGCCUCUUGCGCUCUGGUUUAGUCGAUUCUAUUGAACAUUCAACCACAGCAAAUGGACUUCUAAGUUUUGUAACUUCACAAACUGCAUCUGAUUUGGGGUCUGUUCACCAGAAUUCUGUUAACAAAGAAGCGGCAUUGCCAUCUAUUAAUUUGUGUAGUCAAAAGAAAUCAACUGAUAUUCCUGCUGAAUUUCUUGAAAGGCUUUCAAAUAUGGGAUAUUCUAAGGAGCAAAUUCAUCUUGCUUUUGCAAAAGUUUUGAAAGAUUCACAGACUAAGGAGUCUUCUUCCCUUUGGUUUGCCAUUUUGUUUCAUCUCCGAUUAAAUCUAGUUGAAUCGUUACAUUCAGAUUCAGAGCAAAAUACUGGAAAGGAGUGUCCUGUGUUACCAACCACCCGCAUCUCUGCAGACAUUGGUCAAGUAGAUGUUGCUACGGAAGGGAAUGAUAGGAUAACAUUUACUUCUGGUGGUGCACAGCAUGGUCUAGAGUCUUUACGUCGUACUCAUUCAGCACUUGGGUCUCUCAACUUGCACGCUUGCACAUCAUCUGAUUAUCCCAUGCAAAAGUCACUGGAUUCUAAUGGUCCAGAAACCAAUAUGUGUGCCUUAGCAAUGCCACCUCUCAGAUUUGGCGAGAAAUUCGAGGAUGUGUAUGAUGUGAUCUUGAUAUUGGAUGAUCGGGAGAAAUUUGCUAAGAAUAAUCGUGGGUCCCGCUCUAGAAAAGUAAUUGAAAAUACAUGCAUCGAAUUCAAAAUAGAAGCAGAGGUCAGGCGCCUACCUGUUGGUGAUGGAAUCUGGAUAGCUCGGCAUAAACAUCUUGAUAAUGAAUACGUGCUUGAUUUUAUUGUUGAAAGGAAGGAAGUUGAUGAUUUGGGCAGUUCAAUCAGGGACAGCCGCUAUAGAGAUCAGAAACUGAGGCUCCUGAGGUGUGGACUUCAGAAGCUAAUAUAUCUGGUGGAAGGGGACCCAAAUUCUUGUGAAGCAGCCGAAAGCAUCAAGACAGCUUGUUUCACAACAGAGAUUCUAGAAGGGUUUGAUGUACACAGAACAAGUGGCUUGAAUGAUACACUGAGGAAAUAUGGCUAUCUUACGCAAGCGAUAAGCAAUUAUUACAAAAUGCAAUUUUCCAAUGACGUCAAGAAAUGCAAUACAAUAUGCCCUUCCUUUCAUGAAUUCAUUAAGAAGUGUCAAGAUCUUGACAAAAUGACCAUCAGCGAUGUAUUUGCUAUACAGCUCAUGCAGGUUCCGCAGGUAACAGAGGAGAUUGCACUCGCUGUUCUAGAUCUGUACCCAACAAUUCUCUCACUUGCUCGUGCAUAUGCUCUUCUUCCAUGGUUACACGAGCAUAUUAUUCUUCCGUCAUGGUUGUCAACGAAGAUGGUGUAUCCACGUAUUUUGAGAUGGGUCGAUAGCAGUUAUCGACAGACGGGCGCACAUAAAAAAUUCUUAAACACUCUUGUCUGCACACAGAUUAUUGAAGAUAUGACCCCUACAAAUGAGGAGAGUCACCUUUUACUUCUCACUGUAAGCACUUUAUAUUUAUGUUUUUGCCCAUUAUGUAAUUACCCCAUAGUUGCACACUUGAGAUAUAUAAGUCUUUGUUGUGAUUGGCAUACAGGAGACAUCAAAUUCAAUUAAAGAGAUGCGUCAGUCGUUAGAACCAUGUCUUGUGAAGAUUGAAGAGAAAAUAGAUGCUUGAAGCUCGAAUAGAUAAAUACGUCAGUGGUUGGAACCCAUACUUUUGAAGAUUGAUGAGAAAAUUGUGACCUCAAAUACAAAUAAAGAAAUUCGUCAGUGGUUGGAACCCAUACUUGUGAGGAUCGAAGAGAAAAUCGGAGGAUUCUUGUGGACCACUUUAUGUCCUUUGAAGUUCAUUAAACUUAUUGAUUGAUCCUAGAGGAUGGCUUGAUGAUGAGGUUAUAGACAAGUAUAGUGAAUUGCUGAAGAGUCGACAAAAUAGAGAUAGACGAGAUUUAUUAAAAUGUCAUUUCCUUAAUACUUGGUUUCAUGCAGGUUUUCAUAUAAAUGUGCAAUGUUCAUACAAAGAUUGAUGUGUUUAACAAGCAUUUUAAUUUGUUCUUGAUUGAACUAUUUCAGCAAUUUAUAUGUUCAAGGAGAAAUGAUAAGGCAAAAAGAAAGAAAAGUGAAGACACGAAUAAUAGUUUUAGUUUUCAAAUUCAACGUGUCUUUGAGACGAUACCUUAUGAUUUGGGGAGUAGAGUUUAAUUGUGUUU